CCCUUAGACGUUCUGGGCCGCACGCGCGCUACACUGACCAGUGCAACAAGCAUCCGUCCUUGGCCGACAGGCCCGGGCAAUCUUUGAACGCUGGUCGUGAUGGGGAUAGACUUUUGCAAUUUUUGGUCUUCAACGAGGAAUUCCUAGUAAACGCAAGUCAUCAACUUGCAUUGAUUACGUCCCUGCCCUUUGUACACACCGCCCGUCGCACCUACCGAUUGAAUGGUCCGGUGAAGCCUCCGGAUUGGCGCGCACCCCGGUGCCGCCGAGAAGUUGGCUAAACCUUACCAUUUAGAGGAAGGUGAAGUCGUAACA
This 315-nucleotide ribosomal RNA is filed under the name uncultured eukaryote. RNAcentral's name for it is "partial 18S ribosomal RNA". It matches the Rfam family "Eukaryotic small subunit ribosomal RNA", at positions 1470 to 1796 of the family's 1831-position model. The record is from RNAcentral.